Molecule: long non-coding RNA, 892 nt
Organism: Triticum dicoccoides
Lineage: Eukaryota; Viridiplantae; Streptophyta; Magnoliopsida; Poales; Poaceae
Exons: 4
Source: RefSeq, a predicted model, not a curated record
GAAGAAGAAAAGAAGAAUAGCAAUAUUAUCAUAUGCGAGGUUGUUAAUUCAUCAAAGGCGGCUCCUGAGUAUACAUACCGUGUUUAUCUCGCCUGCCUUCUUAGGAAAAAUCCUAUACUCAAGGUAUCAUUCGAAGGGGCGACAUACCCAAUUCUCGGAUUCCUCAAGCAACAGAUGUAGUGUUGUCAGUCUCUGAAGAUUCGAAUCCGUCUGCUCCUAGGCAAAAACAGAGGGAUGAUUGGGAUAUACUAAAAGCCACAGUGUAUUGAGGCUUAGUGGAGUCAGUCACCAGCCUCUUCGUGUUUGAACAACAGCAUCAAGCGGCGCCAAAACAUGUCAGUUACUUUCAUCUUGGGCAUAGCCAACCUUAUUGGUGGACUGACUCUCAUUUUUCAGAAUAUUGCUGAUCUGAGAGAUAUCCGAGACAUGAACGAGGAAAAAAUGAGAAGGUCGUCCACUAUUGGCUCAAGCUCAGGAGGUGGUCGAAAGCCCGGCUCCACAUGGUUCUAGCACUACCGUCACACAUGGUGUUCGGGCCACUUCCACCAGUGCUCUGCGGGUUGUCGUUCCACAAGAGCAAUGAUGGGGAGAACAAGAUGAUGAACGUCGCCGGUGCUUUGCUCGCCUGCAUCGCGCUGCUUGCGCUCGGGACGUGCAUGUCCACAGAAAAGCCAUGACAUACUUCAAGACUCUAAUUUACUACCUGACCAUCGCCGUGAGCUUGUCCGGGAUAUCGUACGUUGCCGGUGUGCUGAUCACGAGGCUUCUCAAACACUUUGGCACCAUCGAUCUAGGUGGUGCAUUGGCUCCUCAUACUUCUCUAGGCCUGUUGUUCUCUCAUUUAGGUCGUGCACAUACGUCUGCCUAGGCCUCAAUAAUCUAAUGGCUCAAG